This 374-nucleotide ribosomal RNA is filed under the name uncultured Glomeromycotina. RNAcentral's name for it is "LSU rRNA". The record is from RNAcentral. Lineage: Eukaryota; Fungi; Glomeromycota.
UUGAAAGGGAAACGAUUGAAGUCAGUCGUACCAGCGGGAAUCAACCUUUCGAGUGGGGGUUUUGGAGUUUUGAAGAGUUUCAAAACCUUUGAGAUUUCAAAAUUUUCGCUCCUUUGGUGUACUUUCUCGUGGGUAGGUUAACAUCGAUUUCGAUCAUCAUAAAAGGAUUGGAGGAAUGUAGCUUCGAUCUUGUAUUGAAGUGUUAUAGCCUUUGGUAAAUGUGAUGAUUGGGAUCGAGGAUUGCAACGAAUACCCUUUUGGGCUAUCCGCCUGAUCUCUGAUACGUGGCCUUGGCAUCGAAAGCUUGCUUAUGGUAUCAAGGUAUUACGGUCAAAAGGUUAGAACGGAUUACAUUCGUUAAGGAUGUUGACGUA